RNAcentral lists this ribosomal RNA (386 nucleotides) under uncultured bacterium. Its description in RNAcentral is "bacterial SSU rRNA". It matches the Rfam family "Bacterial small subunit ribosomal RNA", at positions 28 to 417 of the family's 1533-position model. The record is from RNAcentral.
GACGAACGCUGGCGGCGUGCUUAACACAUGCAAGUCGAGCGGUAAGGCCCUUUCGGGGGUACACGAGCGGCGAACGGGUGAGUAACACGUGGGCGACCUACCCUCAGCUUCGGGAUAAGCCUGGGAAACUGGGUCUAAUACCGGAUAUGACCACAUGUCGCAUGGUGUGUGGUGGAAAGUUUUUCGGCUGGGGAUGGGCCCGCGGCCUAUCAGCUUGUUGGUGGGGUGAUGGCCUACCAAGGCGACGACGGGUAGCCGGCCUGAGAGGGCGACCGGCCACACUGGGACUGAGAUACGGCCCAGACUCCUACGGGAGGCAGCAGUGGGGAAUAUUGCGCAAUGGGCGAAAGCCUGACGCAGCGACGCCGCGUGGGGGAUGACGGCCU